Molecule: ribosomal RNA, 253 nt
Filed under: uncultured bacterium
Lineage: Bacteria
Description: partial 16S ribosomal RNA
Rfam family: Bacterial small subunit ribosomal RNA
Source: RNAcentral
UACGGAGGGUGCAAACGUUGCUCGGAAUUAUUGGGCGUAAAGCGCACGUAGGCGGCUUGUUAUGUCCGAUGUGAAAUCCCUCGGCUUAACCGAGGAAGUGCAUUGGAAACUGGCAAGCUUGAGUACUGAAGAGGGUCGCGGAAUUCCCGGUGUAGAGGUGAAAUUCGUAGAUAUCGGGAGGAACACCAGUGGCGAAGGCGGCGACCUGGGCAGAUACUGACGCUGAGGUGCGAAAGCGUGGGGAGCAAACAGG